CCUUGUUCUAAGCCUAUAGUCAACAUCAUCACAGAUGAUACUGUUUUAACUGGCGAUGACUUGAAAGAAAAAUGUUGUCAAAAAGUUCCCGCUCUCUACAUUCCAAAUUAAACACCUUGGCUCCCCCAAAUUCUUCAUUGGAAUAGAAGUUGCUCAAUCUGAAAAGGGUAUGUCUCUCAACCAAAGAAAGUUGCAUGAGGGAGAGAACACUUGUUUUUGGAGGGGAGACACGACUCUUCGUGAACAAUUUCCUCGGCUUUAUGCAAUGUCAAACCAAAAAGAGGCAAAGGUGGCGGAUGUUUGGGUGACUAUGGAGGUCGGAAGG
Molecule: long non-coding RNA, 325 nt
Filed under: Medicago truncatula (barrel medic)
Lineage: Eukaryota; Viridiplantae; Streptophyta; Magnoliopsida; Fabales; Fabaceae
Description: lncRNA gene37637
Source: RNAcentral